This 2057-nucleotide long non-coding RNA is filed under the name Zea mays. RNAcentral describes it as "long non-coding RNA (ZMAY_LNC004414)". The record is from RNAcentral. Lineage: Eukaryota; Viridiplantae; Streptophyta; Magnoliopsida; Poales; Poaceae.
CCCACUUCUCCCACACCUUGGCCGCCGCCCCCUGCCCAUCUCCUCCUCUCUCAAUUCUUGCAGCCACACCACCAAAACCCUAGCCGCCCCCCCCAAUCUCCUCCUCCCAAGGUGCCAAUCCUUGCCGCUCGGAUCAUCGUCACGUGGUGCGAGUCUUCAAUCGUUUUGGUGGAGGGAAGAAGGGAGGAAGGAAAGGGGGAGAAUCCAAGGUGAUUUUUGUGUUCAUCCCUUGUUCAUUUGCGCUGCAAUUCAAUUGAUUAGAGGUUGCGUUUGCGAUUGGGUAGAGGGGGCUGUCCAGAAUUUUAGGUGGUGGAUGAACAGCAGUAGUUCUAGCAGUUUCUGUGUUUUUUUCGUGAGAAAUUAAGGGAAACCAGUUUGGGGAUCAUGCAGAACUUUGCCUUACCUUUCCAACGAGUAUUUAUGUGCUCAAUUUGGAGUUAUAAAUUGAAAGUUAUCACCGUUUGAAUCCGGGUAUGUGGCUGUCCAAAAAAAACAGAUUUUCAGGGGGAUGAACAGCAGCAGUAUUAGCAGUUUCUGGGGAUUUUUCGGGAGUAAUUUGGGUUAAUCAGUAUAAGAAUCAUGAAGGGCUCUUUCUUAUCUUUCCAACAAGUACUUAUGCGCUUGAUUCAGAAUUAUAUUUUAAAAGUUAUCGCUGUUUGAAUCCGAGUAUGUCGCUGCCCAAAACAGGAAAAAACAGAUUGCAGGGUUUAUUUUGUGGACCGUUUAGGGGUAAUUAGAUGUUAGAAUUUAAUCAUAAAUUGUAUACAAAACUUGUGGGGAAUUUUAUGUAGUUGCCUCUGGAGUUUUUGUUUGACUCCACUGCUGUCUUAAUUUUAAAGUUAUGGAAUUGUUAAGCAGCGCCGCUGCCGUUUGGUUGGUGUGGGGAGAAUUGUUACCCGCGGCGGGGUUUGAGAUUGCGCGUAGGUGCGGCGUUGUUUUGAGUUUUUUUAUGUCAAUUUGGUGCACUAAGUUGGGUGUCAAAAACAGGUGGUGGACUCCCAGAUCGUUCUUAGGGAUUUUCCCAAACUUCCGGUGAAGGCAAGUAAAACUGUGAUGGUUAUUCCGUCUGUCAGAUGAGGAGUCUUAUACUUGAUUAUGUUGUGCUAUUGUGUUCAUAUUCAUAUUUUCUUUUGAGUACCAUCAUUUGAAAAUGUUCAUGUUUCAUGGAUUUCAUAUGUUGAAUUUGAGGUUUGAUUAUGUUACUCAAGUGGUUAUUAUGUGGAAUGGGUGGAAGUAAAUGUCUAGCACAUUUUAUUUGGGAAGAACUCAUGAUGUCGUCAUGCAUAAUGCACUCAUCAUCCAUUGCAUUGAAGUUUCGUCGCGAUCUUAUGGUCCGACCGUACCGGUACAUUGAGCAUCAUAUGUUGCCCGAGAAGGGGUAUGGUGCAGCUUCAUAUCCUUAGAGAUAUGGAGGCAGAAGUCAUUAUUGCAUUUGUAGCCAUGUGCAUUCAUGGGAGAGGUGUGGAAUCUAUUAUGUGGAUGUGGAUAAUUUGGACUUGUGCAUGGUGAUUCUACUUGGCGUUGAGUUUUUAGUUACUUGUAUACUUGCUGCAAUUUACUGUUCAAAAGAAAAGAAAGAAGUUCUGAACACGUGGUUGUGUAAGCACAAUUGAUUUACAAUGUCCUAUUUGUUGUUGUUAUGUUUACUUGCUGAGAUGUGUUAUCUCACAUCUUGCAUUGUUUGAUGCAGGCACCUAAUUUCUGCUUUGGGAAUAGAGGGAUGUAGCAGCACGACCACUACACCUUUAAUAAAGGAACCACCAUUUAAUAAUGUUGUUAAUCAGAGUUGGUCAAGUCUAGUGAAUUGCUUUGUUCUUGGUUGAGCGUUUAUUUUGGGGUGGGCUGAGUUUCUUAUCCCAUUUUUUUUACUUCAGUUGGGGCAUAAAUGAGCUUUACCACUUUGCAUCUAGUUUCUACUAUGUGAAUGAUAUGUCUUUAUAUCCUGUAUGAACUUCAUGUUUUCCCCUCCUUGUUAUGUUAGUUUCAAAGGAGGUGCUGCCGGAUUUUGCUAUAUUUUCUUUCUUUAUUACGCCUCUUGUGUGGAGUAAGUUAGGUGG